RNAcentral lists this ribosomal RNA (423 nucleotides) under uncultured bacterium. RNAcentral's name for it is "bacterial SSU rRNA". It matches the Rfam family "Bacterial small subunit ribosomal RNA", at positions 202 to 622 of the family's 1533-position model. The record is from RNAcentral.
AGGACCUUGCGCUUUUGGAGCGGCCGAUGUCUGAUUAGCUUGUUGGUAAGGUAAAAGCUUACCAAGGCUUCSAUCAGUAGCUGGUCUGAGAGGACGGCCAGCCACACUGGGACUGAGACACGGCCCAGACUCCUACGGGAGGCAGCAGUGGGGAAUUUUGGACAAUGGGGGCAACCCUGAUCCAGCCAUGCCGCGUGAGUGAAGAAGGCCUUCGGGUUGUAAAGCUCUUUCASCCGGAACGAAACGGUUACGGUUAAUACCCGUGACUACUGACGGUACCGGAAGAAGAAGCACCGGCUAACUACGUGCCAGCAGCCGCGGUAAUACGUAGGGUGCAAGCGUUAAUCGGAAUUACUGGGCGUAAAGCGUGCGCAGGUGGUUUUGUAAGUCAGAUGUGAAAGCCCCGGGCUCAACCUGGGAACU